RNAcentral lists this ribosomal RNA (1957 nucleotides) under human gut metagenome. RNAcentral's name for it is "bacterial LSU rRNA". It matches the Rfam family "Bacterial large subunit ribosomal RNA", at positions 1 to 1983 of the family's 2925-position model. The record is from RNAcentral.
GAAAGUAAGCAAGGGCAGACGGUGGAUGCCUUGGCUCUCGGAGGCGACGAAGGACGUGAUAAGCUGCGAAAAGCCCGGGGGAGGCGCAAAUAGCCCUUGAUCCCGGGAUAUCCGAAUGGGGCAACCCGGCAGGCUGAAGGCCUGCCAUCCCGUAAGGGAGGCGAACGUGGGGAACUGAAACAUCUAAGUACCCAUAGGAGGAGAAAAUAAACAAUGAUUCCGUAAGUAGUGGCGAGCGAACACGGAAGAGCCCAAACCCAUGUCGUCUAGGCGACACGGGGGUUGUAGGACCACGACGUGGCAAGAGGAUGGCAAGUGGAACGCCUUGGAAAGGGCGACCGUAGAGGGUGAUAGUCCCGUACACGACUGCCUGCCGAAGCCUAGUGGCAUCCUGAGUAGCGCGGGGCACGAGAAAUCUUGCGUGAAACAGCGGGGCCCAUCCCGUAAGGCUAAAUACUCCCGAGAGACCGAUAGCGAACCAGUACCGUGAGGGAAAGGUGAAAAGAACCCCGAGCAGGGGAGUGAAAUAGACCCUGAACCCGUCUGCCUACAAGCGGUCGGAGCAUAGCAAUAUGUGACGGCGUGCCUUUUGCAUAAUGAACCUACGAGUUACCUUCCCCGGCAAGGUUAAGUACCUAAGGUACGGAGCCGAAGCGAAAGCGAGUCUGAAGAGGGCGGCCAGUCGGGGGGGGUAGACGCGAAACCGAGUGAUCUACCCUUGGCCAGGUUGAAGGUUGGGUAACACCAACUGGAGGACCGGAUGGGUAAGCGUUGAAAAGCUUUCCAAUGAGCUGAGGGUAGGGGUGAAAGGCUAAUCAAACUCGGAGAUAGCUCGUACUCCCCGAAAUGCAUUUAGGUGCAGCCUCUUUAUAGUAUAUCGUGAGGUAGAGCGACUGAUUGGAUGCGAGGGCUUCACCGCCUAUCAAGUCCAGAUAAACUCCGAAUGCGCGAUAUAUAUUUACAGGGAGUGAGGGCGCGGGUGCUAAGGUCCGUGUCCGAGAGGAGAAGAAUCCAGACCACCGGCUAAGGCCCCCAAAUGAUCGUUGAGUUGAACUAACGAGGUCGGAUCGCAGAGACAGCUAGGAUGUUGGCUUGGAAGCAGCCAUUCAUUUAAAGAGUGCGUAACAGCUCACUAGUCGAGCGAUCUGGCGUGGAUAAUAAUCGGGCAUAAACGAUCUGCCGAAGCCGUGGAUGUCGUAAGACAUGGUAGGGGAGCAUUCCAUGCGGCGUCGAAGAUGAGGGAUGACCCUUGUUGGAGCGCAUGGAAAAGCAAAUGUAGGUAUGAGUAACGAUAAGGGGGGCGAGAAACCCCCCCGCCGAAAGACCAAGGUUUCCUGAUCAACGCUAAUCGGAUCAGGGUGAGUCGGGACCUAAGGCAAAGCCGAACGGCGCCGCCGAUGGAAGAAUGGGUUAAUAUUCCCAUACUGCCUCAUGGAGUGACGUGGAGACGGAGAAGUGACAGUCCUGCCGGCUGACGGAAUAGCCGGUUGAAGGGUGUAGAUAUUGAUUCCCGUAGGCAAAUCCGCGGGGAGAGUCGAACCUGACAGUAUACCGAGUACUUGUACGAGGUAAUAUGGACGUAACCAUGCUCCCAAGAAAAUCCGCUAAACUUAUCCAUGCGGCACCCGUACCGUAAACGGACACACGUGGUCGGGUUGAGAAUACUGAGGCGCUCGAGUGACUCACGGUUAAGGAACUAGGCAAAUUGACCCUGUAACUUCGGGAUAAAGGGUCCUCGUCGUAAGGCGAGGCGCAGAGAAUAGGUCCAGGCAACUGUUUAACAAAAACACAUGGCUAUGCUAAAUGGAAACAUGACGUAUAUAGCCUGACACCUGCCCGGUGCUGGAAGGUUAAGAGGAGAUGUCAUCGCAAGAGAAGCGUUGAAUUGAAGCCCCAGUAAACGGCGGCCGUAACUAUAACGGUCCUAAGGUAGCGAAAUUCCUUGUCGGGUAAGUUC